GUGAAAUUAAAGGCAAUAAAAUAAUUAACAAAAUAUGCCAAUUACUUCAGGAAACCUUAAAUGGUCUGAAGAGUUGAAGGGAUGAAUACAGACGUUUUGGUCUUCUCAGAUCUGUCUCACCCAGUCUUAGAAAUUCCUGAAUCUGCUUUUAUUUAUCAGAAAUAUGUAGAGAUGUUGAAAUUCCUUGACCUGUAUGAAGAUCAGGCCUAUUGUGAAUGGAAAGUUCAGCUAGUGACUCUAUUGAGAGAGGUGAAAUAUUUCCUGAUGUUGAACCAAGCCAGUAUUCUAGAUUCUGCUUUAGCAAUGUAUGAGAAAAGGAACAGUUUUGCAAAGGUAGAAUAUCCUCUGACAGAAAAAGAGCUGAAAGCUACUGAUGACCAGCUGAAAAAAGCAGAAGAAAUGCAUGUGGCAGAUGGCAACCUGCUGGGACUGUAUCAAACAAGUGAAAACGUCAGCGUGCGAUUUAGAGCAAAGAGUUCAGCAAUCAAACGAUAA
RNAcentral lists this long non-coding RNA (495 nucleotides) under Apteryx owenii (little spotted kiwi). Its description in RNAcentral is "lncRNA (ENSAOWG00000005642.1)". The record is from RNAcentral. Lineage: Eukaryota; Metazoa; Chordata; Aves; Apterygiformes; Apterygidae.